UCCCGAGCGUUNUCCGGAUUUAUUGGGCGUAAAGCGAGCGCAGGCGGUUUGAUANGUCUGAAGUUAAAGGCUGUGGCUCAACCAUAGUUCGCUUUGGAAACUGUCAAACUUGAGUGCAGAAGGGGAGAGUGGAAUUCCAUGUGUAGCGGUGAAAUGCGUAGAUAUAUGGAGGAACACCGGUGGCGAAAGCGGCUCUCUGGUCUGUAACUGACGCUGAGGCUCGAAAGCGUGGGGAGCGAACAGGAUUAGAUACCCUGGUAGUCCACGCCGUAAACGAUGAGUGCUAGGUGUUGGGUCCUUUCCGGGAUUCAGUGCCGCAGCUAACGCAUUAAGCACUCCGCCUGGGGAGUACGACCGCAAGGUUGAAACUCAAAGGAAUUGACGGGGGCCCGCACAAGCGGUGGAGCAUGUGGUUUAAUUCGAAGCAACGCGAAGAACCUUACCAGGUCUUGACAUCCCGAUGCUAUUUCUAGAGAUAGGAAGUUACUUCGGUACAUCGGUGACAGGUGGUGCAUGGUUGUCGUCAGCUCGUGUCGUGAGAUGUUNGNNUAAGUCCCGCAACGAGCGCAACCCCUAUUGUUAGUUGCCAUCAUUCAGUUGGGCACUCUAGCGAGACUGCCGGUAAUAAACCGGAGGAAGGUGGGGAUGACGUCAAAUCAUCAUGCCCCUUAUGACCUGGGCUACACACGUGCUACAAUGGUUGGUACAACGAGUUGCGAGUCGGUGACGGCGAGCUAAUCUCUUAAAGCCAAUCUCAGUUCGGAUUGUAGGCUGCAACUCGCCUGCAUGAAGUCGGAAUCGCUAGUAAUCGCGGAUCAGCACGCCGCGGUGAAUACGUUCCCGGGCCUUNU
Molecule: ribosomal RNA, 851 nt
Filed under: uncultured bacterium
Lineage: Bacteria
Description: bacterial SSU rRNA
Rfam family: Bacterial small subunit ribosomal RNA
Source: RNAcentral